RNAcentral lists this ribosomal RNA (496 nucleotides) under uncultured bacterium. RNAcentral describes it as "partial 16S ribosomal RNA". It matches the Rfam family "Bacterial small subunit ribosomal RNA", at positions 28 to 507 of the family's 1533-position model. The record is from RNAcentral.
GAUGAACGCUGGCGGCGUGCCUAAUACAUGCAAGUCGAGCGAACAGAUGAGGAGCUUGCUCCUCUGACGUUAGCGGCGGACGGGUGAGUAACACGUGGAUAACCUACCUAUAAGACUGGGAUAACUUCGGAAACCGGAGCUAAUACCGGAUAAUAUAUUGAACCGCAUGGUUCAAUAGUGAAAGACGGUUUUGCUGUCACUUAUAGAUGGAUCCGCGCCGCAUUAGCUAGUUGGUAAGGUAACGGCUUACCAAGGCAACGAUGCGUAGCCGACCUGAGAGGGUGAUCGGCCACACUGGAACUGAGACACGGUCCAGACUCCUACGGGAGGCAGCAGUAGGGAAUCUUCCGCAAUGGGCGAAAGCCUGACGGAGCAACGCCGCGUGAGUGAUGAAGGUCUUCGGAUCGUAAAACUCUGUUAUUAGGGAAGAACAAAUGUGUAAGUAACUAUGCACGUCUUGACGGUACCUAAUCAGAAAGCCACGGCUAACUACGUG